RNAcentral lists this ribosomal RNA (468 nucleotides) under uncultured bacterium. RNAcentral describes it as "partial 16S ribosomal RNA". It matches the Rfam family "Bacterial small subunit ribosomal RNA", at positions 28 to 507 of the family's 1533-position model. The record is from RNAcentral.
GACGAACGCUGGCGGCGUGCUUAACACAUGCAAGUCGAACGGAAAGGCCCUGCUUUUGUGGGGUGCUCGAGUGGCGAACGGGUGAGUAACACGUGAGUAACCUGCCCUUGACUUUGGGAUAACUUCAGGAAACUGGGGCUAAUACCGGAUAGGAGCACCUGCUGCAUGGUGGGGGUUGGAAAGUUUCGGCGGUUGGGGAUGGACUCGCGGCUUAUCAGCUUGUUGGUGGGGUAGUGGCUUACCAAGGCUUUGACGGGUAGCCGGCCUGAGAGGGUGACCGGCCACAUUGGGACUGAGAUACGGCCCAGACUCCUACGGGAGGCAGCAGUGGGGAAUAUUGCACAAUGGGCGGAAGCCUGAUGCAGCAACGCCGCGUGCGGGAUGACGGCCUUCGGGUUGUAAACCGCUUUCGCCUGUGACGAAGCGUGAGUGACGGUAACGGGUAAAGAAGCACCGGCUAACUACGUG